AGUUAAAUCAAUUAUGUUUUGAAAACAUUUACAAGAAGGGUUCACUUCUAUUAACUU
Molecule: transfer RNA, 57 nt
Filed under: Allacta robusta
Lineage: Eukaryota; Metazoa; Arthropoda; Insecta; Blattodea; Pseudophyllodromiidae
Description: tRNA-Ser
Source: RNAcentral